CGACUUAGCUCAACCAGGCAGAGCAACUGAUUUGUAAUCAGUAGGUUGUAGGUUCGAUUCCUAUAGUCGGC
Molecule: transfer RNA, 71 nt
Filed under: bovine gut metagenome
Rfam family: tRNA
About the family: Transfer RNA (tRNA) molecules are approximately 80 nucleotides in length. Their secondary structure includes four short double-helical elements and three loops (D, anti-codon, and T loops).
Source: RNAcentral